This 334-nucleotide unclassified non-coding RNA is filed under the name soil metagenome. Its description in RNAcentral is "partial contains 5.8S ribosomal RNA, internal transcribed spacer 2, and large subunit ribosomal RNA". The stretch from base 1 to 120 matches the Rfam family "5.8S ribosomal RNA", at positions 35 to 154 of the family's 154-position model. The record is from RNAcentral.
GAUGAAGAACGCAGCGAAAUGCGAUAAGUAGUGUGAAUUGCAGAAUUCAGUGAAUCAUCGAAUCUUUGAACGCACAUUGCGCCCCUUGGUAUUCCAUGGGGCAUGCCUGUUCGAGCGUCAUUUGUACCUUCAAGCUUUGCUUGGUGUUGGGUGUUUGUCCAUUCUCUUGCAGAGGGACUCGCCUUAAAGUAAUUGGCAGCCAGUGUUUUGGUUUUGAAGCGCAGCACAAGUCGCGAUUCAACGCUAUACGCCAGCUUCCACAAGCCUUUUUCACUUUUGACCUCGGAUCAGGUAGGGAUACCCGCUGAACUUAAGCAUAUCAAUAAGCGGACGA